This 549-nucleotide small RNA is filed under the name Pongo abelii (Sumatran orangutan). Its description in RNAcentral is "retained intron". Lineage: Eukaryota; Metazoa; Chordata; Mammalia; Primates; Hominidae. The record is from RNAcentral.
AAUAAAAGGGGAGCGGCGAAGAGGCAGGAAGACAAGACCAUGUCGAAGGGCCCCGGGCCCGGCGGCUCCGCAGCUUCCUCGGCGCCCCCGGCCGCUACCGCUCAGGUGCUGCAGGCACAGCCCGAGAAACCGCAGCACUACACCUAUGUUAAAUACUAAAGAAGGCUUCCCCACAACCCAUAUGCAUCUGCUUUGACUGGUGGUUUCUAUCAUCCUACAAAGACUGUGACUUAUUGGUGAGGGCAGCUGGACAACUCUGAGAGCAACUUAGAGAAAUCCAUCUUGGGCACACUCUAUAAAGGAGCUCCUUCUCUGCAAAUAGCACCCCAGAUAAGUGCACAAAAGCAAGAUACCCUCGUGGACCUACACGUCCUCCCGCUUUUCAACACCCUGAUGCCUGAAGGUGAGGUCUCUUUCCUGUGUGUCUUAGAAGCCAUGAGCACGCUUAGGUAACUAGAGCCCUGCCACAGCCUGAGCAGCACAGCACACAUCUGCAGGCUUUCCUGCCAGACCUUUACCUAAAGGUAAUUUUUCUCAUUAGGAGAGACU